RNAcentral lists this ribosomal RNA (596 nucleotides) under Talaromyces pinophilus. RNAcentral describes it as "eukaryotic LSU rRNA". It matches the Rfam family "Eukaryotic large subunit ribosomal RNA", at positions 1 to 598 of the family's 3401-position model. Lineage: Eukaryota; Fungi; Ascomycota; Eurotiomycetes; Eurotiales; Trichocomaceae. The record is from RNAcentral.
UUGACCUCGGAUCAGGUAGGAGUUACCCGCUGAACUUAAGCAUAUCAAUAAGCGGAGGAAAAGAAACCAACCGGGAUUGCCUCAGUAACGGCGAGUGAAGCGGCAAGAGCUCAAAUUUGAAAUCUGGCCCCUUUGGGGUCCGAGUUGUAAUUUGCAGAGGAUGCUUCGGGUGCGGUCCCCGUCUAAGUGCCCUGGAACGGGCCGUCAUAGAGGGUGAGAAUCCCGUCUGGGAUGGGCGGCCGCGCCCGUGUGAAGCUCCUUCGACGAGUCGAGUUGUUUGGGAAUGCAGCUCUAAGCGGGUGGUAAAUUUCAUCUAAAGCUAAAUACUGGCCGGAGACCGAUAGCGCACAAGUAGAGUGAUCGAAAGAUGAAAAGCACUUUGAAAAGAGAGUUAAACAGCACGUGAAAUUGUUGAAAGGGAAGCGUUGUCCACCAGACUCGCCCGGGGGGGUUCAGCCGGCACGUGUGCCGGUGUACUCCUCUCCGGGCGGGCCAGCAUCGGUUUGGGCGGCUGGUGAAAGGCCCCGGGAAUGUGCCACCCUUCGGGGUGCCUUAUAGCCCGGGGUGCCAUACAGCCAGCCUGGACCGAGGCCCGC